GAGCGGAGGAUGCGACAGAAAUAAGGUUGCUGAUGAGCUGACCUCACAGAGGAGCCCACCCUGGCCUGUCUCGUGGCCUGAUGUCAUCCCAGGGUCCCUACCAGGGGGAGAGUGAGGCAGAGCUGAGACCAGAUGCGAGCCAGCCACUGCUGGAUCUGCAGACUGGAGGAAAGGCCUGUGAGCCUAAGAGCACGGGCAGCAUCAGGAGGGUGGUAAAGCAGGAAAUAGGUUCCCUCCCAGGGCUGCGGGAGGAAGGAACACACCCCAGAGACGCCCAGCCAGAUCUCUGACCUCUGGAACAGCAGCAAAGAAAACUUGCAACUUGCAUGAUUUAAGUCGCUAAGCUGGUGGUAAUUUGUUACAGUAGCAACAGGAAACUCCCAUGGGAUACAUGGGGUCCAGGUCGGGGACUCUGAAUGUAUCCUCGGAGCUCUCUGGCUAGUGGUUAAAGCUGCCAUCUGGGUUGCUGCAGAUCCAAGUUUCCAUGUUGGAUGCAGGAGACAGAGCUGGCCUGUCAAAUCAGGGCACGGGGGAGGGGACACUGUUUGGUAACCACCACUGGAAAGCAGGUUCUCCCCACGGAGAAAGACGGCACCGGAUCCCUACCUCACACCACACUGGACAGAAGCCGCUCCAGGGUUUGGGCGAUGCCGCUGGCGGCAGUGUCCCCGUGAAGCCUCCUGGGAGGCAAGCGGUGGCUUCUCGAGGAUGCCACCCACCUACUCGGGCAGUGAGCACGUCCAAGAGAGAGUAACACGCCCCGUGACUCAGACGCUGUGCCAGGUGUCGGUGGGGCCAAGCCGCUGCCAGGCACUAGAGCAGUGGGAUGGAUCUAGUUCACAGGAAGGUCUUCUGGGGCAGGAGGAAAUCCAGGCUCGGAGGGGAAGAAGCUGGGAGCGAGUGUGGACAAAUCCUGCUCGCUGAGCCUCAGGGGCACCCGAGACAGCCCAGAGGCCAUCCUUUGAACCUAAGGAGGAUUACCGGGUUUCUGAAAGGACUGCACACAAACAAAGGGCCCCAGAGUGUCAUUCCUCUGGACGAAACCUCCCAAGGCUUCCAACAGUUGGUGCAGGAGGGGAAGUUUCGGGAAGCCUACCUGAGCGUCUCCGCGUCAGCAUGGGAAGGGCAGGACUGCGGCCCCCAGUACCAGGCUCUGGCCCAGAGCAUGUGGCAGGUGGUCCAGCAGGCUCUGGAGGGCGUCAGGCACGGCCAGGAGCUGGAGCUGAAGCUCCAGGCAGUGCUGGACACUGUGGAGUACACACAGGACAAGCCCCCGAGCCUGGAGGCUGGUACCCUCGAGGAUGGCACAGUCGCCACCUGGGGCAGUCAGCUGGAGAGGCUGCUGAGAAAUGACGCUGAGGCCCGAGUGCCCACCUGGGACCCCAGGGGCAAGCUGGGCCCCUUCCUGGAGAAGCUAGAGGAGGCUGUGAGACAGGGCCUGGGGUCACUGAGGGCGAGCCAGCUGGGGGCCCGCCUCUGGACGAUCUACAGCACCUGCUUCCAGGAGGUCCUCCUCAGCCGCCUCUUGGAGCUCAAGCACUCCUGUGGCGCCAGCUGGAACAGCUGCUGCGUGCUGUAUGCCUGGGGCAGGACGACCUUGUUUGGGCAGCUGGGGGAGAUGCUUCCGAAUGCACCUUCCACCUCCCAGAAGCCCACGGCCGGGUACCUCUUGGACUCCAUGAUGUUUGUGACCUGGAUGUCCCAAGUGCAGAAGAAGCUGGUGGGGCUGAUCCAGGAAAGGCUGGAGGAGACUCUAGAAAAUGUCCUGAUCUGCGAUCAGAAAAAGUGGGCCCCGUUCUCCCACCCAACGUUCCUUGAAAUCUUCCAGCUGCUGGAAGAAGCCAUGAUUGCAGCAAGACCCAUUGGACCAUCGGUCACUAGCCAAGUUCAAGCCAUGGUUCUGGAAAUAUUUUCAAAGUUUCUGAACAGGUACCAGGACAAGGCUGUCCACUUCCUGCAGCAGAACGCCACUGCGGGGGCCUUCCCCGAGGUGCACGUGCUGGGAAACUGCUGCAUCCUCAGGAAAACGUGGCAGGAGCUGAGUCAGGCAUGCUUUCCACCUGCAGACCUGGUGACUGCGGUACAGGGUGCCAUCCACGCCAUUGAGGGCCACAGCCGGGACCACCUCCUGCUUAGAGUCAGAGCCCUGUGCCAGAAUCUGCUGAGGGGCCACUUCGGGAGGAAGGAGAGGGAUCUGGUCAAUGCUCUGAAGUCCCUGUGGCAGGGCCUGGAGGGCUGUCCCAGCCUGCACUCCACUCCCGUGUAUGAGGGUGCACCGCUAAGGCCAGCCAGACCGUGUCCUGGGACAGCUUUCACUCGGGCCUCUCCAUCUUGUCUUGUGGAGAGCAGAGCAUCAUGCAAAGUUUGCACAUGGUGGUCUUUGGGGAGUACGUCCAGGCCCUGGCCACCCACCUCAGGAUGCUGGCGCCCAGGAAGUGGGGGAGCCUGAGGAUUCAGGUGGAAACGGACAUCUGGAAGUUGGACAACAUCUUCAGGAAGCACGGGGGUCUGGCAGAACGCUGACUGCCCUGAACAGAGGUGGAGGUGAGCAGUAGCUUCAGGGAACCUCGGGCUGUGGAAGUUGUGUGACUCCAGCAGCUACCUAAGGCAAAGGAUCUGGGUGCCCCUGAUCCCAGUGCCCACCCAGUGGCCACUUCAUAAAUGACAGCCUGAUAUUCAGGAGGAAGCCAAUCCUUCCGAAGUCUGGACUCUUCUAUCAGAAGGAAUGCCUGGGGCAUUUACCCUGGAACCCAGCCACCAAGCUAUAAGGUAGGCCAGGCCUUGUGGGAGGCCACGUGCAGGUGUCCCAGCCAGCGACUCUACUGAGGACCCAGCCAGGGCUAUGGACGUGAACCCCAGAUGUUUGAGUGAGGAGAGCUUCAAGAUUCCUGCAGCCCCAGCUGCCGUCUGAUGUAUUAUCAGAAUUAACUUGUGUCUGCACACCUGGACACUUGCCUGGUGUGGAGACCCCCACACCUGGUGUCAGAAGAGCAGUCGCAGGAAAUGUCUUGGGUGGACAUUCAGGUACCGCUGCCUCCGGGCUAUGUGAAUAAAUCGCAGCUGACAGGCCUCUGGUUAACUCUAGAGUUGGAAGCAGUCAUUUCUCUUUUUCCUUUUUUUUGUCCUCCUUGUCCACAUUCUCCUUUCUGGAAAAUUAAAGAGUAGCUCCUGUA
RNA transcript from Acinonyx jubatus (cheetah), 3173 nucleotides. RefSeq lists it as uncharacterized. The record is from RefSeq and is a predicted model, not a curated record. NCBI's taxonomy places the organism in Eukaryota, Metazoa, Chordata, Mammalia, Carnivora, Felidae. The transcript is spliced from 11 exons.